GUGGAUUAGAUACCCUGGUAGUCCCUGCCUUAAACGGUGCACACUUGGCGCGGGGGGAUUUCACCCCCCCCGUGCCGGAGCUAACGCGUUAAGUGUGCCGCCUGGGGAGUACGGCCGCAAGGUUAAAACUCAAAGAAAUUGACGGGGGCCCGCACAAGCAGAGGAGCAUGUGGCUUAAUUCGAUGCAACGCGAAGAACCUUACCAGGGUUUGACAUGGACCUGCACGGCCUAUGAAAGUAGGCCUCCUUCGAGGGUGGUUCACAGGUGCUGCACGGCUGUCGUCAACU
This 288-nucleotide ribosomal RNA is filed under the name uncultured bacterium. Its description in RNAcentral is "partial 16S ribosomal RNA". It matches the Rfam family "Bacterial small subunit ribosomal RNA", at positions 773 to 1060 of the family's 1533-position model. The record is from RNAcentral.